CAAGCAUAGGUCUUUUGGUUCCACCUCAAUAGAAGUAGGACUAAUAAGCUUGGAUUACACUUUCGGUGUUCAUUCACCCACAAAUAACAGAGCGAAGUGUAAUAAGCCUAAACAAAGCAAAACAGGUUGUUUUGAGUUCCAUCUACAUAGAAAGAGGCAUCUUGGAUUUCGCUUAUUUCAAAGUCGUCUUCUUUGGUUUUAAUGCACAUUGACCAGAAAUCGCAAAGUGUAUUUAAUCAGACCAAAAUAACAAAACACCAUCUUUCCGCUUCCAUAUGCGUAGAAAGAAGAAGAAUAAGCUUUGAUUGGGCUUAUUUCAAUUCGCAUGGUGUUUUUUGGGUGUGCACCAGAAUCACCCCAACCAAAGCAAAAAGGUCUUUUGGCUUCCAUCUACAUAAAAGGAAGAUGAUAACGCUCUGAUUGGGCUUAUUUCAAAUCGGUGCUUAUGGGGUUAGAAUGCACAUGGACCCAAAAAUCGCAGAGGGAAAUUUGUUAUCAGCACAAAUCAAACAUAGGUGUUUUGGUUCCAUCUCAAUAGAAGGAGGACGUAUAAGCUUGGAUUGCACUUUCGGUGUUCAUUCACCCACAAAUAAGAAAGCGAAGUGUAAUAAGCCUACACAAAGCAAAACAGGUUGUUUUGAGUUCCAUCUACAUAGAAAGAGGCAUCUUGGAUUUCGCUUAUUUCAAAGUCGUGUUCUUUGGUUUUAAUGCACAUUGAC
This is a non-coding RNA of Podarcis lilfordi (Lilford's wall lizard), 719 nucleotides long. The record is from the annotation of a GenBank genome assembly. Lineage: Eukaryota; Metazoa; Chordata; Lepidosauria; Squamata; Lacertidae.